This 496-nucleotide ribosomal RNA is filed under the name uncultured bacterium. RNAcentral describes it as "partial 16S ribosomal RNA". It matches the Rfam family "Bacterial small subunit ribosomal RNA", at positions 28 to 507 of the family's 1533-position model. The record is from RNAcentral.
GAUGAACGCUGGCGGCGUGCCUAAUACAUGCAAGUCGAGCGAACGGACGAGAAGCUUGCUUCUCUGAUGUUAGCGGCGGACGGGUGAGUAACGCGUGGAUAACCUACCUAUAAGACUGGGAUAACUUCGGAAACCGGAGCUAAUACCGGAUAAUAUUUUGAACCGCAUGGUUCCAAAGUGAAAGACGGUCUUGCUGUCACUUAUAGAUGGAUCCGCGCUGCAUUAGCUAGUUGGUAAGGUAACGGCUUACCAAGGCAACGAUGCAUAGCCGACCUGAGAGGGUGAUCGGCCACACUGGAACUGAGACACGGUCCAGACUCCUACGGGAGGCAGCAGUAGGGAAUCUUCCGCAAUGGGCGAAAGCCUGACGGAGCAACGCCGCGUGAGUGAUGAAGGUCUUCGGAUCGUAAAACUCUGUUAUUAGGGAAGAACAUAUGUGUAAGUAACUGUGCACAUCUUGACGGUACCUAAUCAGAAAGCCACGGCUAACUACGUG